This 429-nucleotide ribosomal RNA is filed under the name bacterium. Its description in RNAcentral is "partial 16S ribosomal RNA". It matches the Rfam family "Bacterial small subunit ribosomal RNA", at positions 355 to 776 of the family's 1533-position model. The record is from RNAcentral.
UAGGGAAUCUUCGGCAAUGGGGGCAACCCUGACCGAGCAACGCCGCGUGAGUGAAGAAGGUUUUCGGAUCGUAAAGCUCUGUUGUAAGAGAAGAACGUGUGUGAGAGUGGAAAGUUCACACAGUGACGGUAACUUACCAGAAAGGGACGGCUAACUACGUGCCAGCAGCCGCGGUAAUACGUAGGUCCCGAGCGUUGUCCGGAUUUAUUGGGCGUAAAGCGAGCGCAGGCGGUUUAAUAAGUCUGAAGUUAAAGGCAGUGGCUUAACCAUUGUUCGCUUUGGAAACUGUUAAACUUGAGUGCAGAAGGGGAGAGUGGAAUUCCAUGUGUAGCGGUGAAAUGCGUAGAUAUAUGGAGGAACACCCGUGGCGAAAGCGGCUCUCUGGUCUGUAACUGACGCUGAGGCUCGAAAGCGUGGGGAGCAAACAGG